GCCACCUUAGCUCAGUUGGUAGAGCACGUCACUCGUAAUGACGGGGUCGUCGGUUCAAUUCCGACAGGUGGCU
Molecule: transfer RNA, 73 nt
Filed under: Longimicrobiales bacterium
Lineage: Bacteria; Pseudomonadati; Gemmatimonadota; Longimicrobiia; Longimicrobiales
Description: tRNA-Thr
Rfam family: tRNA
About the family: Transfer RNA (tRNA) molecules are approximately 80 nucleotides in length. Their secondary structure includes four short double-helical elements and three loops (D, anti-codon, and T loops). Further hydrogen bonds mediate the characteristic L-shaped molecular structure. tRNAs have two regions of fundamental functional importance: the anti-codon, which is responsible for specific mRNA codon recognition, and the 3' end, to which the tRNAs corresponding amino acid is attached (by aminoacyl-tRNA synthetases). tRNAs cope with the degeneracy of the genetic code in two manners: having more than one tRNA (with a specific anti-codon) for a particular amino acid; and 'wobble' base-pairing, i.e. permitting non-standard base-pairing at the 3rd anti-codon position.
Source: RNAcentral